GCUUUACACAUGCAAGUCGAACGGCAGCACGGACUUCGGUCUGGUGGCGAGUGGCGAACGGGUGAGUAAUAUAUUGGAACGUAUCCAAUAAUGGGGGAUAACUAAUCGAAAGGUUGGCUAAUACCGCAUACGCCCUACGGGGGAAAGCAGGGGAUCUUCGGACCUUGCGUUAAUGGAGCGGCUGAUAUCUGAUUAGCUAGUUGGUGAGGUAAAGGCUCACCAAGGCGACGAUCAGUAGCUGGUCUGAGAGGACGACCAGCCACACUGGAACUGAGACACGGUCCAGACUUCUACGGGAGGCAGCAGUGGGGAAUUUUGGACAAUGGGCGCAAGCCUGAUCCAGCCAUUCCGCGUGAGUGAAGAAGACCUUCGGGUUGUAAAGCUCUUUCGCAAGGGAAGAAAACUUACUUUUUAAUAAAGAGUGAGGUUGACGGUACCUUGAUAAGAAGCACCGGCUAACUACGUGCCAGCAGCCGCGGUAAUACGUAGGGUGCGAGCGUUAAUCGGAAUUACUGGGCGUAAAGCGUGCGCAGGCGGUUUUGUAAGUCGGAUGUGAAAUCCCCGAGCUCAACUUGGGAACUGCGUUUGAAACUACAAGACUAGAAUAUGUCAGAGGGGGGUAGAAUUCCACGUGUAGCAGUGAAAUGCGUAGAGAUGUGGAGGAAUACCAAUGGCGAAGGCAGCCCCCUGGGAUAAUAUUGACGCUCAUGCACGAAAGCGUGG
Molecule: ribosomal RNA, 723 nt
Filed under: uncultured bacterium
Lineage: Bacteria
Description: bacterial SSU rRNA
Rfam family: Bacterial small subunit ribosomal RNA
Source: RNAcentral